RNAcentral lists this ribosomal RNA (497 nucleotides) under uncultured bacterium. Its description in RNAcentral is "partial 16S ribosomal RNA". It matches the Rfam family "Bacterial small subunit ribosomal RNA", at positions 28 to 507 of the family's 1533-position model. The record is from RNAcentral.
GAUGAACGCUGGCGGCGUGCCUAAUACAUGCAAGUCGAGCGAACAGACGAGGAGCUUGCUCCUCUGACGUUAGCGGCGGACGGGUGAGUAACACGUGGAUAACCUACCUAUAAGACUGGGAUAACUUCGGGAAACCGGAGCUAAUACCGGAUAAUAUAUUGAACCGCAUGGUUCAAUAGUGAAAGACGGUUUUGCUGUCACUUAUAGAUGGAUCCGCGCUGCAUUAGCUAGUUGGUAAGGUAACGGCUUACCAAGGCGACGAUGCGUAGCCGACCUGAGAGGGUGAUCGGCGACUGUGGAAGUGAGACACGGUCCAGAGUCCUACGGGAGGCAGCAGUAGGGAAGCUUCCGCAAUGGGCGAAAUCCUGACGGAGCAACGCCGCGUGAGUGAUGAAGGUCUUCGGAUCGUAAAACUCUGUUAUUAGGGAAGAACAAAUGUGUAAGUAACUAUGCACGUCUUGACGGUACCUAAUCAGAAAGCCACGGCUAACUACGUG